AUACAGAGGGUGCAAGCGUUAAUCGGAAUUACUGGGCGUAAAGCGCGCGUAGGUGGUUUGUUAAGUUGGAUGUGAAAUCCCCGGGCUCAACCUGGGAACUGCAUUCAAAACUGACUGACUAGAGUAUGGUAGAGGGUGGUGGAAUUUCCUGUGUAGCGGUGAAAUGCGUAGAUAUAGGAAGGAACACCAGUGGCGAAGGCGACCACCUGGACUGAUACUGACACUGAGGUGCGAAAGCGUGGGGAGCAAACAGGAUUAGAUACCCUAGUAGUCC
RNAcentral lists this ribosomal RNA (274 nucleotides) under uncultured bacterium. Its description in RNAcentral is "partial 16S ribosomal RNA". It matches the Rfam family "Bacterial small subunit ribosomal RNA", at positions 523 to 796 of the family's 1533-position model. The record is from RNAcentral.